GUACUUGCUUCGGCAGCAUGUAUACUGAAACUGGAACAAUACAGAGAAAAUUAGCAUGGCCGCUGUGCAAGGAUGGCAUGCAAAUAUGUGAAGCCUUCCAUAUUUAA
This is a small nuclear RNA of Tupaia belangeri (northern tree shrew), 107 nucleotides long. Lineage: Eukaryota; Metazoa; Chordata; Mammalia; Scandentia; Tupaiidae. The record is from Ensembl.